RNAcentral lists this ribosomal RNA (433 nucleotides) under uncultured bacterium. Its description in RNAcentral is "partial 16S ribosomal RNA". It matches the Rfam family "Bacterial small subunit ribosomal RNA", at positions 29 to 507 of the family's 1533-position model. The record is from RNAcentral.
AACGAACGCUGGCGGCAUGCCUAACACAUGCAAGUCGAACGAGACCUUCGGGUCUAGUGGCGCACGGGUGCGUAACGCGUGGGAACCUGCUCUUAGGUUCGGAAUAACUCCCCGAAAGGGGUGCUAAUACCGGAUAAUGUCUUCGGACCAAAGAUUUAUCGCCUUUGGAUGGGCCCGCGUUGGAUUAGCUAGUUGGUAGGGUAAAAGCCUACCAAGGCGACGAUCCAUAGCUGGUCUGAGAGGAUGAUCAGCCACACUGGGACUGAGACACGGCCCAGACUCCUACGGGAGGCAGCAGAGGGGAAUAUUGGACAAUGGGCGAAAGCCUGAUCCAGCAAUGCCGCGUGAGUGAUGAAGGCCUUAGGGUUGUAAAGCUCUUUUACCCGGGAUGAUAAUGACAGUACCGGGAGAAUAGGCUCCGGCUAACUCCGUG